Molecule: ribosomal RNA, 484 nt
Filed under: uncultured bacterium
Lineage: Bacteria
Description: partial 16S ribosomal RNA
Rfam family: Bacterial small subunit ribosomal RNA
Source: RNAcentral
AUUGAACGCUGGCGGCAUGCUUUACACAUGCAAGUCGAACGGCAGCGCGGGCUUCGGCCUGGCGGCGAGUGGCGCACGGGUGUGUAAUGCAUCGGAACGUGCCCAGCAGUGGGGGAUAGCCCGGCGAAAGCCGGAUUAAUACCGCAUACGACCUGAUGGUGAUAGCGGGGGGCCGAAAGGCCUCGCGCGCUUGGAGCGGCCGAUGUCGGAUUUGCUAGUUGGUGGGGUAAAGGCUUACCAAGGCGACGAUCCGUAGCUGGUCUGAGAGGACGACCGGCCACACUGGGACUGAGACACGGCUCAGACUCCUACGGGAGGCAGCAGUGGGGAAUUUUGGACAAUGGGGGCAACCCUGAUCCAGCCAUGCCGCGUGCGGGAAGAAGGCCUUCGGGUUGUAAACCGCUUUUGUUCGGGAAGAAAUCCUCUGGGCUAAUACCCCGGGGGGAUGACGGUACCGGAAGAAUAAGCACCGGCUAACUACGUG